GCGGGGGCCGGGCGGGGCCCGGGACGCCGGGGACCCUCCCAGCCGGGCCUGCUCACUCACCGCGCUCUGCAGCCGUCCCUGGCGCGGCCUUGCUCGCGGUGCCUCGGGGCGGGGCCUGGGUAGAGGCUGCGGAUGGUCCUCGACUCUGAGCUAACGGGGCGCUGCUGCCGCUGGGUCCCUUCCAGGGCAGCACCCCCCACGCGGAGGAUGUUGACUCCAACCUGGCGCUGGAUUCCAGCCUCCAACAGGCUGCACCUCUGUUCUGUGAAGCUGGCUGCUUUGGGGUACAGGGACCCGCCUCCCGACUUCCUAAUAAACAGAGUUCCUUGAUCAGAAGCAAUAUUGUGUGACAGUGAACAUGAUGGUGAAUAGGGCCAUUCAGCGGGUACAUAGAUACGGCUCUUGGCAGGCAUGGGUAAGGCAAGGAGAGCAAAUAACAACCCUGACUUAAUAUUCCAGGGAGGAAGCAGUCACUCCAUUCACGAUGGAAGGAGCCCAAUGUAAUUAUCAGGCGACCAGGUAUUUGGCUGGUCUUCCUAGGAAACCCGCAGUGGAGGGGCCCGGAGGCUUUGCAGUGCUGCAGCGGGCUGGGCUUUGCUGGGGCAAAUCCGUGCCCAGCCCUCCACGGCCACUUUGUUCUUGACUCCACUGAGCCAGCACUGGGGACGCUGAGCCACGUGAGGUCAUCCAAUCUGCCAGGUGGCUUAAUAACAUUCUCUGCAAUAGAGGCUUUUUGGGAAGAGUUCAC
RNAcentral lists this long non-coding RNA (748 nucleotides) under Suricata suricatta (meerkat). RNAcentral describes it as "lncRNA (ENSSSUG00005015386.1)". The record is from RNAcentral. Lineage: Eukaryota; Metazoa; Chordata; Mammalia; Carnivora; Herpestidae.